UAUCGCUGUUAGAUAGCCAUGCACGUCUAGUACAAACUAAAUGAUGGUGAAACUGCAAAUGGCUCAUUACAACGGUUAUGAUGUACCCGGGAGUUCCGAUGGAUAUUUCCAGUAACACUAGAACUAAUACAUGUCCCUGCGUUUAUUAGUUUCGCACAGUCCGUCGCUGAGUCAUGGUAAACAGUUGAUCGACUCGACGUCCCGGAACAGUUUCCGCCCCAUCAGCUUCGAUGGUUGGGUAUUGGCCUACCAUUGCAACAACGGGUAACGAGGAAUUAGGGUUUGAUUUCGGAGAGGGAGCCUGAGAAACGGCUACCACAUCUACGGAUGGCAGCAGGCGCGCAAAUUACCCAAUGCAGACACUGUGAGGUAGUGACGAGAAAUAAUAAAGCGGGACUUCUGUUUCGCUAUUAUAAUGAGGAAUAACCAAAGGUCAUUCCGAUUAGCAACUGAUGGGAAAGUCUGGUGCCAGCAGCCGCGGUAAUACCAGCGUCAGUAGC
This 500-nucleotide ribosomal RNA is filed under the name uncultured Myrionecta. RNAcentral describes it as "SSU rRNA". It matches the Rfam family "Eukaryotic small subunit ribosomal RNA", at positions 35 to 598 of the family's 1831-position model. The record is from RNAcentral. Lineage: Eukaryota; Ciliophora; Litostomatea; Cyclotrichida; Mesodiniidae.